UGGGGGAUAUUGCACAAUGGGCGAAAGCCUGAUGCAGCGACGCCGCGUGGGGGAUGAAGGCUUUCGGCUUGUAAACCUCUUUCGCUAUCGAACAAGGCCCGCUUAGGGUGGGUUGAGGGUAGGUGGAGAAGAAGCGCCGGCUAACUACGUGCCAGCAGCCGCGGUAAUACGUAGGGCGCGAGCGUUGUCCGGCAUUAUUGGGCGUAAAGGGCUUGUAGGCGGCUUGUUGCGCCUGCUGUGAAAACGCGGGGCUUAACAUCGCGCGUGCAGUGGGUACGGGCAGGCUUGAGUGUGGUAGGGGUGACUGGAAUUCCAGGUGUAGCGGUGGAAUGCGCAGAUAUCUGGAGGAACACCGAUGGCGAAGGCAGGUCACUGGGGCAUUACUGACGAUGAGGAGCGAAAGCAUGGGUAGCGAACAGG
RNAcentral lists this ribosomal RNA (420 nucleotides) under bacterium. RNAcentral's name for it is "partial 16S ribosomal RNA". It matches the Rfam family "Bacterial small subunit ribosomal RNA", at positions 355 to 776 of the family's 1533-position model. The record is from RNAcentral.